CAUUAGACGAAUCAUCUGGAAAGAUGAAUCAAAGAAGGUAAUAAUCCUGUAGUCGAAAAUGUUGUCUCUCUUGAGUGGAUCCUGAGUACGACGGAGCACGUGAAAUUCCGUCGGAAUCUGGGAGGACCAUCUCCUAAGGCUAAAUACUCUCUAGUGACCGAUAGUGAACCAGUACCGUGAGGGAAAGGUGAAAAGCACCCCGGAAGGGGAGUGAAAUAGAACCUGAAACCGUGUGCUUACAAGUAGUCAGAGCCCGUUAAUGGGUGAUGGCGUGCCUUUUGUAGAAUGAACCGGCGAGUUACGAUUUGAUGCAAGGUUAAGCAGUAAAUGUGGAGCCGUAGCGAAAGCGAGUCUGAAUAGGGCGUUUAGUAUUUGGUCGUAGACCCGAAACCAGGUGAUCUACCCUUGGUCAGGUUGAAGUUCAGGUAACACUGAAUGGAGGACCGAACCGACUUACGUUGAAAAGUGAGCGGAUGAACUGAGGGUAGCGGAGAAAUUCCAAUCGAACCUGGAGAUAGCUGGUUCUCUCCGAAAUAGCUUUAGGGCUAGCCUCAAGUGAUGAUUAUUGGAGGUAGAGCACUGUUUGGACGAGGGGCCCCUCUCGGGUUACCGAAUUCAGACAAACUCCGAAUGCCAAUUAAUUUAACUUGGGAGUCAGAACAUGGGUGAUAAGGUCCGUGUUCGAAAGGGAAACAGCCCAGACCACCAGCUAAGGUCCCAAAAUAUAUGUUAAGUGGAAAAGGAUGUGGCGUUGCCCAGACAACUAGGAUGUUGGCUUAGAAGCAGCCAUCAUUUAAAGAGUGCGUAAUAGCUCACUAGUCGAGUGACACUGCGCCGAAAAUGUACCGGGGCUAAACAUAUUACCGAAGCUGUGGAUUGUCCUUUGGACAAUGGUAGGAGAGCGUUCUAAGGGCGUUGAAGCAUGAUCGCAAGGACAUGUGGAGCGCUUAGAAGUGAGAAUGCCGGUGUGAGUAGCGAAAGACGGGUGAGAAUCCCGUCCACCGAUUGACUAAGGUUUCCAGAGGAAGGCUCGUCCGCUCUGGGUUAGUCGGGUCCUAAGCUGAGGCCGACAGGCGUAGGCGAUGGAUAACAGGUUGAUAUUCCUGUACCACCUAUAAUCGUUUUAAUCGAUGGGGGGACGCAGUAGGAUAGGCGAAGCGUGCGAUUGGAUUGCACGUCUAAGCAGUAAGGCUGAGUAUUAGGCAAAUCCGGUACUCAUUAAGGCUGAGCUGUGAUGGGGAGAAGACAUUGUGUCUUCGAGUCGUUGAUUUCACACUGCCGAGAAAAGCCUCUAGAUAGAAAAUAGGUGCCCGUACCGCAAACCGACACAGGUAGUCAAGAUGAGAAUUCUAAGGUGAGCGAGCGAACUCUCGUUAAGGAACUCGGCAAAAUGACCCCGUAACUUCGGGAGAAGGGGUGCUCUUUAGGGUUAACGCCCAGAAGAGCCGCAGUGAAUAGGCCCAAGCGACUGUUUAUCAAAAACACAGGUCUCUGCUAAACCGUAAGGUGAUGUAUAGGGGCUGACGCCUGCCCGGUGCUGGAAGGUUAAGAGGAGUGGUUAGCUUCUGCGAAGCUACGAAUCGAAGCCCCAGUAAACGGCGGCCGUAACUAUAACGGUCCUAAGGUAGCGAAAUUCCUUGUCGGGUAAGUUCCGACCCGCACGAAAGGCGUAACGAUUUGGGCACUGUCUCAACGAGAGACUCGGUGAAAUCAUAGUACCUGUGAAGAUGCAGGUUACCCGCGACAGGACGGAAAGACCCCGUGGAGCUUUACUGUAGCCUGAUAUUGAAAUUCGGCACAGCUUGUACAGGAUAGGUAGGAGCCUUUGAAACGUGAGCGCUAGCUUACGUGGAGGCGCUGGUGGGAUACUACCCUAGCUGUGUUGGCUUUCUAACCCGCACCACUUAUCGUGGUGGGAGACAGUGUCAGGCGGGCAGUUUGACUGGGGCGGUCGCCUCCUAAAAGGUAACGGAGGCGCUCAAAGGUUCCCUCAGAAUGGUUGGAAAUCAUUCAUAGAGUGUAAAGGCAUAAGGGAGCUUGACUGCGAGACCUACAAGUCGAGCAGGGUCGAAAGACGGACUUAGUGAUCCGGUGGUUCCGCAUGGAAGGGCCAUCGCUCAACGGAUAAAAGCUACCCCGGGGAUAACAGGCUUAUCUCCCCCAAGAGUUCACAUCGACGGGGAGGUUUGGCACCUCGAUGUCGGCUCAUCGCAUCCUGGGGCUGUAGUCGGUCCCAAGGGUUGGGCUGUUCGCCCAUUAAAGCGGUACGCGAGCUGGGUUCAGAACGUCGUGAGACAGUUCGGUCCCUAUCCGUCGUGGGCGUAGGAAAUUUGAGAGGAGCUGUCCUUAGUACGAGAGGACCGGGAUGGACAUACCUCUGGUGUACCAGUUGUCGUGCCAACGGCAUAGCUGGGUAGCUAUGUGUGGACGGGAUAAGUGCUGAAAGCAUCUAAGCAUGAAGCCCCCCUCAAGAUGAGAUUUCCCAACUUCGGUUAUAAGAUCCCUCAAAGAUGAUGAGGUUAAUAGGUUCGAGGUGGAAGCAUGGUGACAUGUGGAGCUGACGAAUACUAAUCGAUCGAAGACUUAAUCAA
RNAcentral lists this ribosomal RNA (2591 nucleotides) under Staphylococcus argenteus. RNAcentral's name for it is "bacterial LSU rRNA". It matches the Rfam family "Bacterial large subunit ribosomal RNA", at positions 327 to 2925 of the family's 2925-position model. The record is from RNAcentral. Lineage: Bacteria; Bacillati; Bacillota; Bacilli; Caryophanales; Staphylococcaceae.